This 484-nucleotide ribosomal RNA is filed under the name uncultured bacterium. RNAcentral describes it as "partial 16S ribosomal RNA". It matches the Rfam family "Bacterial small subunit ribosomal RNA", at positions 30 to 507 of the family's 1533-position model. The record is from RNAcentral.
AUUGAACGCUGGCGGCAUGCUUUACACAUGCAAGUCGAACGGCAGCGCGGGCUUCGGCCUGGCGGCGAGUGGCGAACGGGUGAGUAAUACAUCGGAACGUGCCCAGUAGUGGGGGAUAGCUCGGCGAAAGCCGGAUUAAUACCGCAUACGACCUGAGGGUGAAAGCGGGGGAUCUUUGGACCUCGCGCUAUUUGAGCGGCCGAUGGCAGAUUAGCUAGUUGGUGGGGUAAAGGCCUACCAAGGCGACGAACUGUAGCUGGUCUGAGAGGACGACCAGCCACACUAGGACUGAGACACGGCCCAGACUCCUACGGGAGGCAGCAGUGGGGAAUUUUGGACAAUGGGCGAAAGCCUGAUCCAGCAAUGCCGCGUGUGUGAUGAAGGCCUUCGGGUUGUAAAGCACUUUUGGCGGGAACGAAAAGGACUGUGCCAAUACCACGGUUCGAUGACGGUACCCGCAGAAUAAGCACCGGCUAACUACGUG